Molecule: long non-coding RNA, 352 nt
Filed under: Equus caballus (horse)
Lineage: Eukaryota; Metazoa; Chordata; Mammalia; Perissodactyla; Equidae
Description: lncRNA (ENSECAG00000048568.1)
Source: RNAcentral
CAUAAAGCUUGUUUGUUCUAAUUUCCAAAUGAUCCUUAAGGACACUUUGUGCCGGGAAGAGGCGGAAAAAAGAAGCGAGAGCUGGAGUGAGGGGUGAGCACCUGCACUUCAUUGUUUUAUUUGAUCCUCACAAUGGACACGUUUUUGGUCCACAUUUACCCAGAAGGAAACUGAUGCUUAAAGAGGAAAAUGAAGCCUAUAAUUUCCAUACCACAGUUGCCAGUUAAUGGAUAGAGGCUGACCUUGUCUGCUUCAUAAUAUGCAUGCUCUGUUUAGAAUAUGGAGCCUCUGAGAAUGCUUUAUGGAUGUGAACCUUGUACUCCAAGUCCAUUAUGUAUUCCCCUGUGAGCUC